Molecule: RNA transcript, 2870 nt
Organism: Canis lupus familiaris (dog)
Lineage: Eukaryota; Metazoa; Chordata; Mammalia; Carnivora; Canidae
Gene: C4H5orf34
Gene name: chromosome 4 C5orf34 homolog
Exons: 14
Source: RefSeq, a predicted model, not a curated record
CCGGGGAGGGAAGACGCUUCCCCGGGGCGCGGGAAGGUUUGAACCGCCGUCGGUUUCCUGCGCUUUCUCUGCGGGCUCGUAGCCGGCGCCGCCGCUCUCUCCCGCUGCCCUGACACGACCGACGUCUCGGCCAAGACGCUCUCUCUGUGGCCUUAUUCCUCUGCGGUGGUGAUUGUUUUCUCCCGUCAAGAAACAUCACUUUUUGGUAAUUUGUCAAAUUCUAGAAACCUCCCUGGAGAAGCAGUCGUGGGCAGGCUUCAAGCGUUUUGGCAAAUUAAAGGGGCCGUUGAUUGGCCUCGUCUCCACGACUUUCCUCCCCGGACUGCCGUGUGAGCCCAGGACGUUGCUGGUUGUUUUGGACGUCUUAUCCGUAGACCCAGUCAUGGCAGCUGAAGUACGAAUGGUACUUUAUGAAGAUGAUUCAGUGCAAGUGCAAUAUGUUGAUGGUUCCAGACUGCAGCUUUCUCCAUGUGGCUCUGAAUUUUUAUUUGAAAAGGCACCUCCUGUUUCAGCACAUCCUUUGGAACAACCAGAAAGAAUUCGUCAAAGGACACACUUUGUUAUUAGCACUUACCGAGAGCAACUACAGCGAGCCCUAGAUUUUCGAAAUUCUUUUGCUGUUUGCCCUUUUUUAUCUGAAAGCAUCAUACCUUCUGAAAGGAAAAAGCGUAUUUUCAUUGACUUCUCAGAAGUGAGAUGGCCCAGUGGCGACACUGAUGAUGGCAUAAUAUGUAUGCAGAGUGGCACCGUGAAGAUAUCAUCAUUAGAUGGGCACGCAUACCUUUGCCUGCCCAAAUUGCAGCAUGAAUUUAUAGUACAUUUUUUGUGUAAAGUAAGCCAGAAGCCAGACUCGUCUGUAGUAUUGUCAGAAAAGAAGAAUCAAGCCAGAAAGGAUAAACUAGUUGAAAAAGCAGGCAAAAUUUGUACAUAUGGAAGUUUAUCGAGACAGAGACUGAAGAAUAAAGAAAAUGAGCUCUAUUGUCAGAUCACGAAAUCCAAGGAACCUUUACAGAAGAAGAGCUGUGUAAAUGGAGCCGAAGGGAAGGAGGAUGCACCUCUUCCUAGUACAAAACACACAUGUGUAUACACGUGGGUGAAGCAGUGCUGGCCUGUGGCCUCCUGUCCAGAGGAGUGGAGAUAUCCUUUGUCUCUAGCACUUCGUUUUCAUAAUAAAAUCAGCAGCAUGUCUGGAAUUGAUGCAGAUAUCACCCAGAGUAGAACUUUAACUUCUGAUAUUUCAGAGGAAAGAGGAAAAGAGGUUUCUGUUCUUCCCAGGGCCCUGUUACUCAGCUGUCCUGUCCCCCACCUACACAGAUGGGAUUUUUGCGAUUCACUUUCACAGAGACCGUUUGAUGAAGAAUAUUCCUAUCCUGAAUUAGUAAAAGUGGUCUGGUACAAAGGUGUAACUUAUCGACUAACCCAUAAAAAUGUGAACUCAAUAGAGAUUUAUCCUGGAGAUGGAUCUGUUUUCAAAUCAGAGGGAGCUUAUCUUGGGAAGUAUUUUACAUAUUAUUCCAUUCAAGAAGGAUCAGAAGAGAGAGAAGAGAAAACUUAUUCAGUAAAUAACCUUCCUCCUGAUAGACCAGGAAGUCUGUUCUCUGUGUAUUCCCUAAUUAAACAGGCAACCGGAAUUCUUCAACACUGUGCCAAGACAAGGCUUUCCUUAAGCCAUAACUAUCGUAUAUGCUGCUGGAAGAUGGUGCCUGGGAUAAAUGAUAGCAAUAUAUUGCCUGUGCUUUUGAGAGAAUCGGUCAUACCCAGCGUGGGAAGAUUUCUUGCAUACUCUGAUGACAAAGUACAUGCUCUCUUUCUAGAUGGCAUCACUCUAACCUUAAACUGGAAUUUCAGCUCUUUGACUGAAAAGAGACAGGUAAAUCAAGGUCUCAAUUUAGGUUGGUGUAAAUUAACUUUUCCUGAUGGACAAGAUCAGUUAAUUCAGAUUGAACACCCUGGACCAUAUGAAAGAUAUGUGACAGCAGUUAUAUCAUGGUGCAGAAGACUGACCCAGACUAGUCAGAGAGAGAUGUCCACACAUCCUUCAUCUUCUGUUCUUGAAGAAAAUUGGUCUGUGGCCUCUGAACUUGAAAAGAUAAAGAAGUUUAACUUGUUAUUGGAAAAUAGUGGUAUCCUAAACCAGAUUUCUAACAAAAAAAAUGAACAGUCAUCUGACCAUUGUGAACCAAAAUCUUCAGAGACCUUGCUGGAAGAAGUUAAUGAAAAGAGAGUAUCAGUGGCAUUGAAAAAAACCUCUGAAAUCCUUCAGGAUAUUGACUAUCUUCUAUCAAAUUCUAAAAAGUGAAAAAUGGAAUUAUAAACCUUAAGGAUAUUUCAAGUGACUAGUAUAAAAUUACUAUGGAGUCUUUGUCACCGGCUAAAAAUCAAGAGUGUGACAAUCAACGAACGGUCCAAUCGCUGAGACACGGAGCCACACUUUAGGGUUCUGCGAGAGGGAGAGACCGAGCGCGACCGAGUUAUUAGCCCUUGAGAUUGAAGACCUCACUUUUUACCACAGAAACUUACAACUAAAAUUAAUAUCGUGCCACUACUGCCUUUGCUUCCCAUCUGCCCCUUGUUUUGAGAAACUGUAAGUAGGGAAAAAGGAGACAAUGCCCCCCUUUUGAGCCCAUUCUUUUGCACCCGUGCUUCCUAGAGCCAAUGCCAAGCUAGACAUCCUGGUGCCCACUCAGGCAGGAAGACAGCCUGGGACCUGGCCAUUGUCUCAUUGAACAGCUGCCUCUUAGGUCGCCCGGGUGGCUCAACGGUGGAGCGUGCGCCUUCCGCCCAGGGUGUGAUCCUGGAGACCCGGGAUCGAGUCCCGCGUCGGGCUCCCUGCGUGGAGCCUGCUCCUCCUCCCUCUGCCUGUGUCUCUG